Triticum dicoccoides is the source of this 3518-nucleotide long non-coding RNA. RefSeq lists it as uncharacterized. Lineage: Eukaryota; Viridiplantae; Streptophyta; Magnoliopsida; Poales; Poaceae. The record is from RefSeq and is a predicted model, not a curated record. The transcript has 9 exons.
UGCCUGACUCCUUUCGCCCAGACGCCCAGCCCCACAGCCGCCGCAGCACUCCGCCCCCAUCCUCCUGUCCUCCACCAUGAGCGCCUCCUCCUCCGCCUCCCCGCCGCGGCCUCUUCCUUCCUUGGCCGGCAGCCACUGCAUCUCCUCACCGUGGGGAGUGACAGUAGCGGCAGGGAGCCUCCCAUCCCCUCGAGCCGCCGGUGCCGGAUCCCGCUUCCGCCGUCCCCUUCGCGCAGUACUCCGCGCCCGCCGGCCAACUACAUGUGCAUCACCCUGGUAAGUCCCAGCCCAUGCUCUGUUCUUAUUCUCCGGCGAGAUUUUCUCAGCUAUGUUUCUUCUCCGGCUUGAGGGAGUGGAUUUCCAUCACUGGAUUCUUGGAUAAAACGAGGAGAUGCAAGAUAGUCCACAACCGCAUGGGCCAAACCUACAGGCUAUAGCUGGAUUGGCCUUGUUAAGUGAUAAUAUAUUAAGAUCUGGAACAUUGUGGAGCAACGAGUGACAAAAGUAUUAGAUGAGAUCUGGAACAAUGCAGCUAACUCUUGGUUGACUGGACUUAUGAGGCGCAAGAUGAGUUCGUCCUAUGCUAGAAGGUGUGUGGGAUAUAGGAGAUACAAGGAGAGAUAUUUCAGUUGCAAUCCAGCUUUAUUUCAUUGUGAAACAUGAGAGAGCUACAUGGAGGUUUCACUGAGGGAGAUGGGGUUGAUGGAGAAGAAGAGGAAACAGAGGCGGGUGUUCUUGCGGCGCUCGGCUGGUUCCAAGACCGUGAGGGGAAGGACUUCAUGCCUCUGGAGGUGAAAGAGCAGAGGAUUCGGGAGAAGAAGCAACCAGAGGAGCCGGAGAACACGGCCCCUGUCCUGUAUAUCUGCCACAUCCCCCAUGCUUCUAUGAGUACCAGAUGCAAGGUUUCUCAGUAGCUUGGGGCUAUUAAGAAGAUGGUCUGUUGAACCUACUGGACAGAACAAAGUCGAGGGAAGAAGUAUGCGAGUCAAGUAUCCGUGAUGACCAACUGAUGAAAAUCACAUUUGAGUGGCCCAGUCGUUUGAUCUGCUCCAACACUACCGUUCCGGCUUUCAGAUUGAGUAACCUGUACCCACGUCUACUGCAAACCUACUAGACAGAAUAAAAUCGAGGGAAUAAGUAUAUAAACUCUUUAGUUAAUCAAGAUGAAUAGAUUUGCCUAUCCGCAGACAGCUCUGAAUCAGUUUUUACCCUUUCUUUUCUAGAAAGAUAAGAACAAUACCCAGUACGAUCCUCUUCUUCUGUACCAGCUUCACUGAGGAGCCAAUUAGUACAAAAAUAUCUUUUGAAUUUCAUUGUUUUGGUCAUGAUGCCAUCAUACCGCAUGCAUGGUGCUUAUGCAACUAUAAGUCUAUAACUACAGAAAUGUACCUUUCUUUGCCUACAGCUAAAUAUGACCCGUCUUAGAUGGUUUGGAAGAACUAAUAUAUGUACUCUCCCUUUUGCCUACUUUUGGGUAUGAAUAGUUCAACUGAUUUUUGGUGAUUCAGAUUAUAGUAUCCAGCUUUCCUGGCUCUAUUUUGUGCAUCUAAAUUUUUUGUGUGCAAAAAUGUUCCUGAAAAGACAUGAGUUGUAUAGUUCAGCAUCCUGCUUUGUGGUAGGUUGAUAAUAUUCCAUUUUUAUGAUUACCCUGCUUUAGAUUAUUCUUGUGUGCCUUGUGCAGCCUUUCCAUUCUAGGCAUCAUUUCUCAAUUGUUUGGGGUCCAAUUCUACAAAUGCUUGGAUGUGUUGGUUCGGCCUUCUGUUAAUCUCCAGAUGAUAGGUGAGGCAGGCAAGUUAAUUCUCUGGUUUCUCAUGAUACUUCUAAAAUCUAUUGCAUAGUAGGAUACGUGCCUGAAAUGUGUGCACACUUACAAUUUCGGUUGUUGUGGAGUUAAAUUAUAAAUUGAUUUGACACGAUAGAUAUAUAUAGAAAAAGCUUUCAACCAAGCAGACUAUUCUUUUAGUAUAUAAAUAGUAUGGCUAUAUACACUGAGUGCAAAAGCUAUUUGUUUGCCACUUAAGCUUAUAUAUUUUCUUUAGCUAUCGUCCUUUGACAUUUUCUUUAUGCAAUGGUUGGUUGAUCAAGCCGAGGACUUCCCUGCGGUGCUUGGUUGGACCAUGUUUCAUUCAGCUAAUAAAAUAGUAUAUAUGUGUGUGUGAUUGCUUCAUCAAUUUUCAGAAACAUUUGUUGCCCAGUAGCUUCCAAAUAGCAGUUUAGCUUUCUUUGUUGCACCUAUAUACUUGCACCUUACAACAACCAUCAUGUUCGCAAAUCGUCUCUAUGAAUGUCCUUUCUUUACUCAUUUAGGACUUAUGAGUUGAUUAAUAUGUCACUCUCAAUAAAGUGUUUUCUUUAAAUGAGGAAUGACAUAUAUAAUUGGUUCUAUUAUAGUAGCUAGCAUUCAUCUUUUCCAAAUAAAUUGUACUGCCUUUUGCUUUAUCUCUUGGUAUAUUUUUCAUUGCUAACAAUUGAUCUGUAGAGAUGCUAUUCUGUCAAGAUUUUCUGCUAUCAAAUAAUUCAUGGCCAGCUACAAUGUUUACCCUUUUAUGUAACUAUUGAGACCCUCUCAGCUGUGCGAUAUAAUCUCAGCUCUCAGGCGCUAGAUUAUGAAUAACUAAGCCUUUCAAGGAUGUUGCUUGAAGAUGGAGGGAUCUUUCCCUACAAGUUUGUUCUUUUUGUUGUUACAGCAAAGACUACUUCCUGGGUUGUUGAGGUGAGUUGUAUGAUGUAAGCACUUAUGGAGGAGAAAAAAUUACUUAGAAUUUGACUUCUCCUGCAUUUAUAGGCUAAUCAAGUGACCUUUUGUCAACUUUUAUGCAAUCUGGCUCUCCAAAUUUUGUGCUUGCUCUGAACUCUCAAAAUUUGUGCUUUGCUGUCCUGUGUUGAUUAGUCAAAUCCUGGUUUUGUCUUAAAGACUAUACCCAGCCAUGUCCUAGGUUUUUCAUUUUGUAUGAAUUUCAUGUUUCCCUGGAAUAUGAGAAUACACCAACUGGAAGAACUGUUGAGCAACACAUUUUCAUGGGAUUUUAUAUGUUGUGAUGUCUGAUUUUUGUCUCUCUUCCAGUUUACAUAGAGAAGCCUCGGUAAGUACUCAAGAAUUUUGUUUUCGUCUAUAUUGACAGACUUUAGGUAUUUUUUUAGAAUGAUUCUGAAACGAGGUCACUCCUACUGAUCUUGCUCUUCGUGUCCGGUGGCAGGAUGCUAGGUCAAGAAUGCAGGGUGGACGAAAGAAAAUUGUGAAUGCUUUUAUCUCCGUGGUCAUUUGGAGCAUAUGGAGGGACAAGAUAGCGGGCUUUAAUAGUGUCUUCGCGCUGCUCCAGAGAGUCAUCGAUCCUGAUACUAGGCAGUAGGCUGGUGUGAGCUUGGGUCAUUUGAUCAUCCCCGAUUGUGUAAAGACUCCUCUGGAAUAUAUGCAAUCCUAUUGCAUGGUUUAAAAAAGAAUGAUUCUGAAACGGGUGUAAAGCAGUGUACGUGCUUGGCCACAGCUAAACCUACUAAUAUAUGGAAUUUUUUUCAAA